This 496-nucleotide ribosomal RNA is filed under the name uncultured Laribacter sp. Its description in RNAcentral is "bacterial SSU rRNA". It matches the Rfam family "Bacterial small subunit ribosomal RNA", at positions 8 to 498 of the family's 1533-position model. Lineage: Bacteria; Pseudomonadati; Pseudomonadota; Betaproteobacteria; Neisseriales; Aquaspirillaceae. The record is from RNAcentral.
AGAGUUUGAUCAUGGCUCAGGAUGAACGCUGGCGGCGUGCUUUACACAUGCAAGUCGAACGGCAGCGCGGGGGCAACCCUGGCGGCGAGUGGCGAACGGGUGAGUAAUGUAUCGGAACGUAUCCUGUAAUGGGGGAUAACCAGUCGAAAGAUUGGGUAAUACCGCAUACGCACGAGAGUGGAAAGUGGAGGAUCGCAAGACUUCACGUUAUAGGAGCGGCCGAUAUCUGAUUAGCUAGUUGGUGGGGUAAAGGCCUACCAAGGCGACGAUCAGUAGCAGGUCUGAGAGGAUGAUCUGCCACACUGGGACUGAGACACGGCCCAGACUCCUACGGGAGGCAGCAGUGGGGAAUUUUGGACAAUGGGCGAAAGCCUGAUCCAGCCAUGCCGCGUGCAGGAAGAAGGCCUUCGGGUUGUAAACUGCUUUAGUUCGGGAAAAAGGGGUGCGGGGUUAAUACCCUCGUGCUUUGAUGGUACCGAAGAAUAGACGAUUCGCC